CUCCGCCCCGACGUCCAACGUGGCCACCGAUUGGUCGAGGGAGACGUGCGUGCGCUUGCGCAUGCUCGGUGGGUAAAAGCAUGGCGGUGGUGUCUCCGUUCAGCUUGCAUCUUCUCAGACACGUGCAGUGAAAAAGACCAGAGCACAUCCUUGUGGGACGCCUCAAGACCUUUGCCAAGAAGCAUCAGGCUGCUUCAGGUUUCUUCCCAGCUGUUUCAUUGACAAGAGGUCCAGGUAGAAGACAGCAGGCACCCUGCCCAGCUUAUCACAGGCCUGAUGCCCAAAGCUUCUGCCAACGGCUGCUCUGGGGGUGUACCCCGGCUUUCCUACUCGCCGGGGAUGGAGGAAAUAUUUGAAGCUUCAAAGAGAAAAAAAAGUCUGUGCCAGAAGUGAACCCAAAGCUAGCCCGCCCCUGAUACGUACUUAUUAUGAACAGCUGUGCCCACCCAUCUGCGCACCGGAAGGUAGAGGCCAGUGCAGACUGCCCCAGUUUGCUUUCCAGUGUGGGGAGAAAACAUGUGACCAACAGCAACUGUAAGAGCCAAAGUUACAUUUUACGUUUUAAUUACUGUACCUAAGAGCUCCAUACAGAAAAAUGCCUCUAACCUGUAAGUCCCUUGUCCAAGGACAGACACUUCCCGAAAUGCUGGAGGCUGUUGUUUAUGGAGAUAACAAACCAUGUUUUCACUCCCCUAAACAGGUUUGUUUGACUCAACUACCGCAGAUGUGCUUGAUCACAUGUGUACGUAGGCAGAUAUGUCAGGAUGUGUGCUUGCCCCUGACUGGACCUGAUGGGAAAUACAGUGGCCUUUUUAAGCCUCUGCAAGGCAUGACUCGUGGCCAUUUUCUGGGAAGCCAGAGAUGGACCUGGCUAGAGACUCCAUCAACCUGGCCAGUAUUGAAUUGAAGCUUGCUUCAGAUUUGUCUUUAAAA
Molecule: non-coding RNA, 933 nt
Organism: Peromyscus maniculatus bairdii (prairie deer mouse)
Lineage: Eukaryota; Metazoa; Chordata; Mammalia; Rodentia; Cricetidae
Source: RefSeq, a predicted model, not a curated record